AGAUUGAACGCUGGCGGAAUGCUUUACACAUGCAAGUCGAGCGGCAGCGCGGGGCAACCUGGCGGCGAGCGGCGAACGGGUGAGUAAUGCAUCGGAACAUGUCCAUGUCGUGGGGGAUAGCCCGGCGAAAGCCGGAUUAAUACCGCAUACGCCCGAGAGGGGAAAGCCGGGGACCGCAAGGCCUGGCGCGAUUGGGUUGGCCGAUGUCCGAUUAGCUAGUUGGCGGGGUAAGAGCCCACCAAGGCGAUGAUCGGUAGCUGGUCUGAGAGGAUGAUCAGCCACACUGGGACUGAGACACGGCCCAGACUCCUACGGGAGCAGCAGUGGGAUUUGGACAAGUGGGGCAACCUGAUCCAGCCAUUCCGCGUGAGUGAAGUAAGGCCGUUACGGUUGUAACGCUUCGUUUUGUACCGGAACG
This 418-nucleotide ribosomal RNA is filed under the name uncultured soil bacterium. RNAcentral describes it as "bacterial SSU rRNA". It matches the Rfam family "Bacterial small subunit ribosomal RNA", at positions 26 to 450 of the family's 1533-position model. The record is from RNAcentral.